ACAAACUUGGUCAUUUAGAGGAAGUAAAAGUCGUAACAAGGUUUCCGUAGGUGAACCUGCGGAAGGAUCAUUACUGAAUCUAUAAGCUGGAGUUGUAGCUGGCCAUAGAAUAGUGGCAUGUGCACACUUUGGCAUUAUCCAAAAAAAAUCUAAACUUUAAUAGUGCACAAUUCAUGGAAGGAUCGUUUAAAAGUUACAUGAUAAUUUAUCAGUAGCUUUUAUUUAGUUCCUUUUCAUGUCUUUUAAAAUAAACAUUGAUUGUAAAGAAUGUAUAUCGCAUUUAAUGCAUCUUUAAUACAACUUUUAGCAACGGAUCUCUUGGCUCUCGCAUCGAUGAAGAACGCAGC
RNAcentral lists this unclassified non-coding RNA (347 nucleotides) under uncultured fungus. Its description in RNAcentral is "partial contains small subunit ribosomal RNA, internal transcribed spacer 1, and 5.8S ribosomal RNA". The stretch from base 1 to 73 matches the Rfam family "Eukaryotic small subunit ribosomal RNA", at positions 1759 to 1831 of the family's 1831-position model. Lineage: Eukaryota; Fungi. The record is from RNAcentral.